Molecule: unclassified non-coding RNA, 244 nt
Filed under: uncultured fungus
Lineage: Eukaryota; Fungi
Description: partial contains 5.8S ribosomal RNA, internal transcribed spacer 2, and large subunit ribosomal RNA
Source: RNAcentral
AACGCACAUUGCGCUCCUCGGCAUUCCGGGGAGCAUGCCUGUUCGAGCGUCAUUGCAUCUCUCAAGCGUAGCUUGGUAUUGAAUCUACGUCCUUGCGGACGGAUUCGAAAAAGAGUGGCGGUCGAGUAUGACUUCAAGCGUAGUAAAAUUUCAUCGCUUUGGAAUGUCUUGCUAGUCUUGCCAAUAACCAACAUAUAUACCAAUGAUUGACCUCGGAUCAGGUAGGGAUACCCGCUGAACUUAA